UUCAUUUGUAAAGUGAAUAAGGAAAUAAGAUUGCAAAAUGGCCCAAUAUGUGCCUAAUUAAGCUUUUUCAUUUGUAACUUUUGAGCAAAAUUCAAUAGCCCUUUCCCUUGCCGCCUCAGAGAAAAUCCUAAAAAUAUGAAAAAAAAAAGAAAGUAUAAUAUGUAUAGAUAUUAAAAGGGGAAAGGAGUUUCAGAGAGACUUGGCGAGGGUUGUAUUUGACAUUCGACUUGAUUAACAUUCGCCCUCCUUUGCUAUUCUUAUCUUUUAUGUCAAAGAAAGAGUGCCCAAAGACGAAGAUUUAGAGUGGCUGUCACAAGAGAUCGCCGAAAGCUGGCAGCCACUUGGACGUCGCCUACAAAUCGCGGAGGCAAAGCUUACAGCGUUUCACAAGGAAAAUGAGGAAUAUUCUGAAAAAGCCUACAAAAUGUUACUGCACUGGAAACAGAAGGAAGGACCAGCUGCAACAUUUGAGGUCCUGUGUGAUGCUUUGUGUCAUCAGUUAGUAAAGCGAAGAGACUUAGCCAGUAGAAUUUUAGAGUGGAAUGAGUGAAAUUACUUCCCAGGCCCUUAUUUUUGAAGAGCCUUGUUAGAACUUCACCCACCACAAAUUGCUCUUAGUAUCGCACUUGAAAUUGAAUGCUUAUCUCAACCCUCCACUUUUGCUACAUUGGCAAGGCAAGCAUUUAAGGUCAUUAAACUAAUGUCUUUCUUUUAUUCGCAUCCUUGGAGCAACGAUAAAAUUAUCAUUUUCAAUAAAUAUAUCAGGUGACUCACCACAAUUUGCAAGAACCGUCCAACUUAUCGUUGAAAGGAUUCUUUGGGCUCAAAACCGACGUUCUCCUUUGAAUCAGGCGGCAGCGCAUCACUCUCAAAUCUCCAGACCUAACAUUUAAACCUAAUAGGUUUCAAGACCGUUUCAGUUUCAUAUAGCCCAGAAGCAGUCGUUGCCCUGUUAUUGGCUAACAUUUCAUUUUCUGGAAAAUUGACCAUGCAUUUUGGCCCACACCCUCAUUUCGGCUAGCUUGUUUCUGUUUAUCUCUUGUGAGUUUUGCAUUCAAGAGAACAUGCGUGCAAAAAGUCAAACAAAAAUUAAAAAAAAAAAUGCAAACUGUCUCCAUCUUUGCUCACAAUUAGCCUCUAGUAAGAGAAAAAACGCGAUGUAUUUUUCCCCUCAAAUAUGUUUUUACCUGUGAGAUGAAUGAACUUAUCCCUUUAACUCUCAGGAAUUGAUCGAUCGGGUCAUAACAGGUCAACAGUUGAGCACUUUAGCUCGCUUCGUGUCAAGUUCAAACCUCUUCCUCUAUCGAGCGUUUGAAAUCAUCGCUGUCAGCGGCCACGAAAGGACACGCCUUUUGGCAGUUACAGACCUCACUUCAUUUGAUGUAGAUCAAAUGACAGCAAAGUGACAUGGCUUUAUACCUAACACCAAUUCUUCAAGAAAUGGCACAGCUACAUGUUAACGUAAUAUGCUGAAAUUUUAACUAUUCAAUAAAAAUCUUCAUGCAGAUUUACCAACACUAAAAUAAACAGUAUAUAGCGGCUUCAUGACAAACACAAAUUCCUCAAGGAAUAGGUAAAGUAGCCUUUCCUUUGAAUCAUACCGAAAAUUACUCUUCCUCUUUGUCAAAAAUCUUGUUACAGAUUUGCCUGUAACUAAAUGUUCGUCAUAGAGACUUUACACCUAGGAAAUGUUCUUCAAGAAAUUGAUACAGCAACUUUUCUUUUGAAUCCUAUUGAAGAUUAAAACAAUAAUUAAGUUGACAGUGACAACAACAAUCCCUUAACAAGGAUAAAUAUCCUUGCUGGUGUAUGACUAUAAUUCUGUCAACUAGUGGUUUAUAUUUAGUUUGAGAUUCCUUACUCUGGUUCAGUAACUUUUCGUAUAAUAAUCACAUGAUUGUAAAUAAAAAUUACAAAUGGUAGCA
RNAcentral lists this long non-coding RNA (1925 nucleotides) under Stylophora pistillata. Its description in RNAcentral is "uncharacterized LOC111342751". Lineage: Eukaryota; Metazoa; Cnidaria; Anthozoa; Scleractinia; Pocilloporidae. The record is from RNAcentral.